AAGCCUUGAAGAAAUUAUACUGUGUAGAAGGACCUAGUCCAUGGAUAUCAUGCAGUCAUUCCUUCAUGUGAUUGAUAUUUCUUCCAAUGCAGAAGCUGCGGCAUCGAAAAAAACAGACUUUUGCGGAGACACGUGGGCAAACAAAACACUUUAACAAGUAUUCCUAGUUUCCAACACUU
Molecule: long non-coding RNA, 179 nt
Organism: Neogale vison (American mink)
Lineage: Eukaryota; Metazoa; Chordata; Mammalia; Carnivora; Mustelidae
Exons: 3
Source: RefSeq, a predicted model, not a curated record